ACUACGGGUGGCUGCAGUGAGGAAUAUUGGUCAAUGGGCGCAAGCCUGAACCAGCCAAGUCGCGUGAGGGAUGACGGUCCUAUGGAUUGUAAACCUCUUUUGUCGGGGAGCAAGGCCCGCCACGUGUGGCGGGAAGGAGAGUACCCGAAGAAAAAGCAUAGGCUAACUCCGUGCCAGCAGACGCGGUAAUACGGAGGAUGCGAGCGUUAUCCGGAUUUACUGGGUGUAACGGGAGCGUAGACGGUGCAGCAAGCAUGAUGUGAAAUGCCGGGGCUUAACCCCGGAACUGCUGUGGAAACUGUGCAGCUAGAGUGCAGGAGAGGUAAGUGGAAUUCCUAGUGUAGCGGUGAAAUGCGUAGAUAUUAGGAGGAACACCAGUGGCGAAGGCGGCUUACUGGACUGUAGCUGACGUUGAGGCUCGAAAGCGUGGGGAGCAAACAGGAUUAGAUACCCCUGUAGUC
RNAcentral lists this ribosomal RNA (461 nucleotides) under uncultured bacterium. RNAcentral's name for it is "partial 16S ribosomal RNA". It matches the Rfam family "Bacterial small subunit ribosomal RNA", at positions 338 to 795 of the family's 1533-position model. The record is from RNAcentral.